AAAGUCAAUGAAGUGAAUGUGCUCGUUCUAAUAUGAUAGAACCUAUACUUUUUUCCAGGUCAGUCACAGCAGAUUGGUUGUAGUAAUGGUCGGUGGCGACAUUGUUUUGCUGUUUCAGCUGAAACCUCCCAUGGAUGCUGUUUCCAUGACGACGGAGUGGGGGAGCCUUGACCUGGAGCCCAGAUUUGUCUAUAAUAUAUUAAAUAGACAAGUAUAGUAAAAUAAAUAUAUGUAUACAGCAAUAUAUAAACAGGGUAUAAAUAGAUAAUGUGUAUUUAUAUAAUAUCAUACAUAAUCAUGCAUUUUGUAUUAGAAUUGUUGGUGGACAAAGAAUGUCAUUGCCAACAAGUGCUUCACUGUAAUUGUUCUGGAAAUAAAGAAGCUACACCUUGCUACAGAGCUUUAAAACUACUUUCUACUGAGAAGUUUUAGGCAGAUGAAUAAUAAUAAUAAUAAUAAUCUUUAUUCAUAGAGCACUUUUGAAACAAAUGUUAUAAAGUGCUUCACAAAAAAAUUAAUAAAAAGAAAAGAAAAGAAAAUACCAUACAACCCAAGUUAUUAAAUCAUCAAGAAAUCAAAAUAGAAUAAAUAAAAUGAAGGGGUCAAAAAAGUGUCAACACUCCAAACAAGGUCAUGAUGACAAUCGUUCCUUAAAUGAACCAAGUGGUUAUUCUUUUAACCGUGAUGAGGCAGGCUGUCAAACCUCAACGAAGCAGUUUCCCAGGGUAGUUUCUGUGCACAUACCUGAUCAAACCAUGGUUGUGUAAGAUCAAAUAAUGCACGCACACUUGUCACCCUUUUUUUGGAUAAAACCAAUGAGAUUAUUUCCACUCUAACACUUCAGCCUCACACAGAUAUAUAGAUAGAUAGAUAUUUGUAGAUAUACAAUUCAAACCUGCUGCUGCCUCAACACCAGAAAUAAUUCAAACAGGAGGAGGAAGUACUGACCUACAUCAUGUCUUAGCUGUAUUUCAGUAUGAUGCUGUGACAGUCAGCAGCAAGACAUCAUGGCUGUUACAGCUCUCUGCAUCAGACUGCUGAUGGAUGUGUUUGUCUUGCUGGCUACACAAGCUGACUAUAGUUACUUUGCUCAGAGAGCUGAUGCAGCGUUUCCUCGUAUUUCUCCAGACAGACUGCAGUUCUUUGAAUAUGAGACUCUCACUAUAAGUUGUGAAGAGUUUGGAGGCUUGAGUGAAUGGAGAGUGAUGAGGAAGCUCAACAAAAUAACUCCAACAGAGUCUUACAACUGGAAGUCAUCAGCAGCCUCCUGCACCAUUCAUCCUACCUUUAAAAGACAGCGGAGAAUACUGGUGUGAAGAUGCAGAGGGAAACCAGAGUGAUGUCCUCAACAUCUCCAUCACUGAUUUCUACAAAGAUGGUGUCAAAUUAGGGACCUGGUAUGAAAACAACAUGACCAUCCACAAUGUUUCCAAGUCUGAUGAAGGACUGUACAAGUGCAGAAUCUCUGGAGCUGGAGAAUCACCAGAGAGUUGGCUGUCUGUUUUAAAUCAAAGUAAAACAGCUUACGAAGAGACUCGUCCUUCCAACAGUGACUCUCGUCCUUCCAACAGUGACUCUCUUAAUCUUUCCUCCCUGCUGUGGACUGCUGUGUUUGCAGCUCUGGGGCUGUUGGCGAUGGGACUACAUGUCUGCAGGAAACACAGAGAGCCAGACGUGUCCGGAGCAGAUACCAAGCCACAAUUACCAGAUGAGAGUGUUUAUUCUACAGUCUACUACAGGCCGAUGACACCUGACUGAAGGACUGAGAAGAUGGUCUGUUGUAUUUUUCUUAGCACGAAAGGAAGUCAUACUGUACAGUAUUUUUUAAAUAUAUUUUUAACAACGUUUUUAAAAAUGUAAACAUAUAUGUGAAAUAGAUUUCAAAGCACAUUUGGUUGUCUUUUGAUUAUGAAUACUGCAUUUUUUAUCAUAAAUGACUGGUAAAUCUUUUAAGCACUUUGUUGUUUGCAAAAUACAAUCACUAUCAGAAGUACACUGACUGAAAGAGAGUAAUGACUGAAGUUUAUAAUGCAGCUGUUUAGAUCAGUUUUCUGGAGGUAAACAACAGCUUAGUCUUCAAUGCCAUGAAAGCAUUUCAGAAGAAGAGGGCGCAACAAGAUGAUGAAACAACAAUAAAAAAUGUGAAACUU
Dicentrarchus labrax (European seabass) is the source of this 2150-nucleotide long non-coding RNA. RefSeq lists it as uncharacterized. NCBI's taxonomy places the organism in Eukaryota, Metazoa, Chordata, Actinopteri, Moronidae. The transcript has 6 exons. The record is from RefSeq and is a predicted model, not a curated record.